ACCAAAGCUGGCAUCCUUAUCAACUCCACCCAACCAAAGCUGGCAUCCUUUUUUUCUCUGAGCCCAGGUGGGCAGCCACGUUGCUAGUCGGCUCUCUCUGGGGCCUCUCAUCCCCUUAACUAGAGACCAAUAGCACCUUGGAGAGUAUGGGUCUUGCUUUAGAGUCCUGUUGAGUUCUUCCCUUGGUGGCCAAUUUAAAGUAGCUACAUUCAAAUUUUAUUUAUUUUUUUGACCAACACCACAGUGCUCCAGGUGCCAGCAGAGAUGAGUUUUAUCCUUGCUACAAGCUUCUGGUCUUCGAUAUCCAACUGAAACAGAGUUUAAGGAGUUUUGGGGCAGUGGAAGUAUCACUUUAAAUCACAGACUUGUGUCCUCCAAACCUAAAUAUGGACACAGCAAAGAGGAAAAACAAAACCCAGCAGAAAAGGAAAAGUUGAUAAGGAUAAAAAGAAUUAGAGAAAAAUGUGGGGGGCACGUGUUGAUAGAGAAAAGAAGUUAAAUGACCACACUUGCCACUUUCUGGUGUAUCCAGUGGGAUCUGCAGAAUUUCACACGGGU
This 558-nucleotide long non-coding RNA is filed under the name Capra hircus (goat). RNAcentral's name for it is "lncRNA (ENSCHIG00010026299.1)". The record is from RNAcentral. Lineage: Eukaryota; Metazoa; Chordata; Mammalia; Artiodactyla; Bovidae.